Molecule: ribosomal RNA, 677 nt
Filed under: uncultured organism
Description: bacterial SSU rRNA
Rfam family: Bacterial small subunit ribosomal RNA
Source: RNAcentral
GGCUUAGAGUUUGAUCAUGGCUCAGGAUAAACGCUGGCGGCGCACAUAAGACAUGCAAGUCGAACGGAAGUCGUUAUAAAUGAAUUGAAGAUUUAUCUGAUUGAAAUUUAUAACAAUGGCUUUAGUGGCGGACUGGUGAGUAACGCGUAAGGAAUCUACCUAUUAGAGGGGAAUAACAAUGAGAAAUCAUUGCUAAUACCGCAUAUGCCAUAGUGAAGGCAUCUUCAUAGUGGGAAAGGAGCAAUUCGCUAAUAGAUGAUCUUGCGUCUGAUUAGUUAGUUGGUGGGGUAACGGCCUACCAAGACGACGAUCAGUAGCCGGACUGAGAGGUUGAACGGCCACAUUGAGACUGAGAUACGGCCCAGACUCCUACGGGAGGCAGCAGUCGGGAAUAUUGCGCAAUGGAGGAAACUCUGACGCAGUGACGCCGCGUAUAGGAAGAAGGUUUUCGGAUUGUAAACUAUUGUCGUUAGGGAAGAAAAAAGACAGUACCUAAGGAGGAAGCUCCGGCUAACUACGUGCCAGCAGCCGCGGUAAUACGUAGGGAGCAAGCGUUAUCCGGAUUUAUUGGGUGUAAAGGGUGCGUAGACGGGUAAUCAAGUUAGUUGUGAAAUCCCUUGGCUUAACUGAGGAACUGCAACUAAAACUGGUUAUCUUGAGUACAGGAGAGGUAAGUG